This 673-nucleotide long non-coding RNA is filed under the name Parus major (Great Tit). RNAcentral's name for it is "lncRNA (ENSPMJG00000004759.1)". Lineage: Eukaryota; Metazoa; Chordata; Aves; Passeriformes; Paridae. The record is from RNAcentral.
AGCUCCGGCCACCGCCACCAGUUUGACCAGUCCGAGUCAGACCAGUGUGACCAGUUUGACCAGUCCAACUCGUCCCAGUUUGACCAGUCCGAGUCAAACCAGUAUGACCAGUUCAACUCUGGCCACCACCACCAGUUUGACCAGUCCAGCUCCGGCCACCGUGACCAGUUUGACCAGUGCGAGUCAGACCAGUUUGACCAGUCCAGCUCCGGCCACUGUGACCAGUUUGACCAGUCCGGCUCCAACCAGUUUGACCAGUCCAACCAAGCUGACCAGUCCGACUCAUCCCAGUAUGACCAGUCCAACUCGUCCCAGUUUGACCAGUCCGGCUCCAACCAGUGUGACCAGUUUGACCAGUCCAGCUCCGGCCACCGCCACCAGUUUGACCAGUCCGACUCGUCCCAGUUUGACCAGUCUGAGUCCGACCAGCGUGACCAGUUUGACCAGUCCCAGUCAAACCAGUUUGACCAGUCCAACUCGUCCCAGUUUGACCAGUCCCAGUCAAACCAGUUUGACCAGUUCGACCAGUCCAGCUCCGGCCACCACGACCAGUUUGACCAGUCCAGCUCCGGCCAGCGUGACCAGUUUGACCAGUCCGGCUCGUCCCAGUAUGACCAGCAUGGCUCCCAGUAUCACCAGUAACACCAGUACCAUCAAACCUGCGGCUCCCAGU